CAAUAGCGUAUAUUUAAGUUGUUGCAGUUAAAAAGCUCGUAGUUGGAUUUCGGGUGGGACGCAGCGGUCUCGCAUUGCGUUUGUACUGCUGCAGCCCUCCUUCUUGCCGGGGGCGGCCUCUCGGACUUCACUGUCUGGGGGUCAGAAUCGGCGAUGUUACUUUGAGUAAAUUAGAGUGUUCAAAGCAAGCUUACGCUCUGAAUAUAAUAGCAUGGGAUAACACGACAGGACUCAGGCCUAUCGUGUUGGUCUAUAGGACCAGAGUAAUGAUUAAGAGGGACAGUCGGGGGCAUUCGUAUUCCGUUGUCAGAGGUGAAAUUCUUGGAUUUACGGAAGACGAACAUCUGCGAAAGCAUUUGCCAAGGAUGUUUUCAUUGA
Molecule: ribosomal RNA, 378 nt
Filed under: uncultured eukaryote
Lineage: Eukaryota
Description: partial 18S ribosomal RNA
Rfam family: Eukaryotic small subunit ribosomal RNA
Source: RNAcentral